Molecule: transfer RNA, 64 nt
Filed under: Sphaeroderma rubidum
Lineage: Eukaryota; Metazoa; Arthropoda; Insecta; Coleoptera; Chrysomelidae
Also listed under: 1 other name
Description: tRNA-Phe
Source: RNAcentral
AUUUAAAUAGCUUAUAUAGAGCAUGAUAUUGAAGAUAUCAGAGAAGUUUUUUAACUUUUAAAUA